UCUCCGUUGGUAAACCAGCGGAGGGAUCAUUACAGGACUCGCAAGACUCCUUCACACUGUGAACCUCACUACAAGCACGUUGCUUCGGCGGGUGUCCCGGCGGGGGUUUUCCCUCGCCGGGGCGCACAGCCCGCCGGCAGCCUACUAUACUCUGUCUCUUUGCGUUGGCAUCUCGAGAAAAAACAAACAAGUUAAAACUUUCAACAACGGAUCUCUUGGUUCUG
Molecule: unclassified non-coding RNA, 224 nt
Filed under: plant metagenome
Description: partial contains small subunit ribosomal RNA, internal transcribed spacer 1, and 5.8S ribosomal RNA
Source: RNAcentral